This 262-nucleotide ribosomal RNA is filed under the name Escherichia coli. RNAcentral describes it as "partial 23S ribosomal RNA". It matches the Rfam family "Bacterial large subunit ribosomal RNA", at positions 2681 to 2925 of the family's 2925-position model. The record is from RNAcentral. Lineage: Bacteria; Pseudomonadati; Pseudomonadota; Gammaproteobacteria; Enterobacterales; Enterobacteriaceae.
GUACGAGAGGACCGGAGUGGACGCAUCACUGGUGUUCGGGUUGUCAUGCCAAUGGCACUGCCCGGUAGCUAAAUGCGGAAGAGAUAAGUGCUGAAAGCAUCUAAGCACGAAACUUGCCCCGAGAUGAGUUCUCCCUGACUCCUUGAGAGUCCUGAAGGAACGUUGAAGACGACGACGUUGAUAGGCCGGGUGUGUAAGCGCAGCGAUGCGUUGAGCUAACCGGUACUAAUGAACCGUGAGGCUUAACCUUACAACGCCGAAG